UACGUAGGGUGCAAGCGUUAAUCGGAAUUACUGGGCGUAAAGCGUGCGCAGGCGGUGAUGUAAGACAGAUGUGAAAUCCCCGGGCUCAACCUGGGAACUGCAUUUGUGACUGCACGGCUAGAGUGUGUCAGAGGGGGGUAGAAUUCCACGUGUAGCAGUGAAAUGCGUAGAGAUGUGGAGGAAUACCGAUGGCGAAGGCAGCCCCCUGGGAUAACACUGACGCUCAUGCACGAAAGCGUGGGGAGCAAACAGG
Molecule: ribosomal RNA, 253 nt
Filed under: uncultured bacterium
Lineage: Bacteria
Description: partial 16S ribosomal RNA
Rfam family: Bacterial small subunit ribosomal RNA
Source: RNAcentral